CCUACGGGUGGCAGCAGUGAGGAAUAUUGGUCAAUGGGCGCGAGCCUGAACCAGCCAAGUAGCGUGAAGGAUGACUGCCCUACGGGUUGUAAACUUCUUUUAUAAAGGAAUAAAGUGCGGCACGUGUGCCUUUUUGUAUGUACUUUAUGAAUAAGGAUCGGCUAACUCCGUGCCAGCAGCCGCGGUAAUACGGAGGAUCCGAGCGUUAUCCGGAUUUAUUGGGUUUAAAGGGAGCGUAGAGGGGUUGUUACGUCCGUUGUGAAAGUUUGCGGCUCAACCGUAAAAUUGCAAUUGAUACUGGCAGCCUUGUGUACAGUAGAGGUAGGCGGAAUUCGUGGUGUAGCGGUGAAAUGCUUAGAUAUCACGAAGAACUCCGAUUGCGAAGGCAGCUUACUAAACUGCCACUGACAUUGAUGCUCGAAAGUGUGGGUAUCAAACAGGAGUAGAUACCCUUGUAGUC
This 460-nucleotide ribosomal RNA is filed under the name uncultured bacterium. RNAcentral describes it as "partial 16S ribosomal RNA". It matches the Rfam family "Bacterial small subunit ribosomal RNA", at positions 338 to 795 of the family's 1533-position model. The record is from RNAcentral.